GUAGGGUGCGAGCGUUAAUCGGAAUUACUGGGGCGUAAAGCGUGCGCAGGCGGUUUGGCAAGUCAGAUGUGAAAUCCCCGAGCUCAACUUGGGGAACUGCGUUUGAAACUGCCAGACUAGAAUAUGUCAGAGGGGGGUAGAAUUCCACGUGUAGCAGUGAAAUGCGUAGAGAUGUGGAGGAAUACCAAUGGCGAAGGCAGCCCCCUGGGAUAAUAUUGACGCUCAUGCACGAAAGCGUGGGGAGCAAACAGGAUUAGAUACCCUGGUAGUCCACGCCCUAAACGAUGUCUACUAGUUGUUGGUGGAGUAAAAUCCAUGAGUAACGCAGCUAACGCGUGAAGUAGACCGCCUGGGGAGUACGGUCGCAAGAUUA
Molecule: ribosomal RNA, 373 nt
Filed under: uncultured organism
Description: partial 16S ribosomal RNA
Rfam family: Bacterial small subunit ribosomal RNA
Source: RNAcentral